CCGAGAUUCCCCCAGUAGCGGCGAGCGAACGGGGAGGAGCCCAGAGCCUGAAUCAGUGUGUGUGUUAGUGGAAGCGUCUGGAAAGGCGCGCGAUACAGGGUGACAGCCCCGUACACAAAAAUGCACAUAUUGUGAGCUCGAUGAGUAGGGCGGGACACGUGGUAUCCUGUCUGAAUAUGGGGGGACCAUCCUCCAAGGCUAAAUACUCCUGACUGACCGAUAGUGAACCAGUACCGUGAGGGAAAGGCGAAAAGA
Molecule: ribosomal RNA, 255 nt
Filed under: Escherichia coli
Lineage: Bacteria; Pseudomonadati; Pseudomonadota; Gammaproteobacteria; Enterobacterales; Enterobacteriaceae
Description: partial 23S ribosomal RNA
Rfam family: Bacterial large subunit ribosomal RNA
Source: RNAcentral